CUCAAAAGUAUAUAUGUAUGUAUAUUUAUAUGUACUGGUUUAUUUAUGUAUAUAUAAUUUUGCGCGUGCGUCGCGUGCGCAUAAAUACCUGUCCGUAAGGUACUUUUUAAUGGGCCGUAGGUAUAUCAGUCUGGAUAAUGUAAUACAUUUGUAAUCUGUAAUGUAAAACGCGAAGUUGAGCAUAUGAGGAAUAAUGUUUUGUUGGUCAUUAUCGAUGUCAUUAUCGAUGAAGAUUAAUAUUUUUCGGCGUUGUGAAAUUAAUAGUUAUUAUCCAAAGAAGUGAACUUUACUUUUUGUAAGUACCUAAUUAGUAUAAUAAUAUGCAGUUAUUCCAUAGUUCUUAGCAAUAUUUCACAAUAAUAUAUGUAUGCAACUAAGAGGUCUAUCAAAUUACAAGUCAUGGUUUUGAAUUUCAUUCCGCUGCUUGGAUGGCGAAGUUACCAAGAUAUGAUUUAAAUAGUGUGCAGAUAUUUCCUAAGAAACGAAACCAGGGAAAACGAGAGCAUUUAACACCCACGAUUUCGUAAAAGGCGAACGCGAAUCCCGGUGAAGGGGCGCAGUGGAGGGGUCCGGUCGCCGCUGAAAAUUAAUCGGUCAGCUGUUACUGUCAACAAAGAGCAGACGACGCGAAGGGCGCGGUGGCGGUGGCUGCGGCGGUGUUGAACUUGAGCUCACAUGGCUUUCAACACAAACAAUACUGUUUUACGGCCGAUUUAGUUCUCGUGUUGACUAAGCAAAAGUGAAUCAGAAGUAAUGGAGAAAUCACAAGAGGACAGCUCUGAGGAGGGAUCUAUUACAGAGAACUUCCUGAAAACGACACAUGGCCUGUGGAAGACUUUAGCAGAAGCACUUCAG
Molecule: long non-coding RNA, 855 nt
Organism: Penaeus chinensis
Lineage: Eukaryota; Metazoa; Arthropoda; Malacostraca; Decapoda; Penaeidae
Exons: 3
Source: RefSeq, a predicted model, not a curated record